CCACUCAUGAACACUAUGUUGAACUCCCAGUUGCAAAGCCUUAUCUCCUAUCCAUCCUUUUUCCUUACACCAAAACCCUCCAUUCUCUUCCAUGGCUUCACUUCUCUCCCUGUCCAUCCAUGCCAACACUUCCUCAAAAGAAAAACCAACUUUUGCAUACGUACCAAUUACAAUGUUGGUGCCAAAACUGGCUCAUCAUCAAUGGCUACUUCAAUUGAUCAAAACCCAGUUUCAGUUAAGGCAGCUGUGACAGUUAAGGUCACUACUGGAGAGUUCUUCUCCAACCUUGGGUUAACCAAACCUGUUGAUGAUUUCACUGAUUUAUUUGGUGAAACAUUACUUUUGGAGCUCAUUAGCGCUGAGCUAGAUCAUGUCCUUUUUACCAUCAGACACUCCUAGUGGAUUGAAGAGGCUAAGUGAACUGGAGCUGGAAAAUCUAAGAGGCACUGGAGAAGGGAAGAGGAAGUCAUUUGAGAGGAUCUAUGACUAUGACACAUAUAAUGACCUUGGUGACCAGAUAAAAGCAGUGAAUUGGCACGACCUGUCCUUGGAGGCAAAGACCACCCAUUCCCAAGACGCUGCAGAACAGGACGUCCACGUUGUAUAAAGGACCCUUUGUCGGAACAAAGAAGCAGCAGUGUAUAUGUGCCUAGGGACGAGGCAUUCUCAGAGGUGAAGCAGUUAACAUUUUCAGCAAAGACCCUAAAAUCUGUGAUGCAUGCACUGCUGCCUCAGCUUGAGAUAUCACUUCUUGACCCCCACUUGGGAUUUCCACACUUCACUGCCAUAGACUCACUAUUUUGUGAAGGACUCACAUUGCCUAAGCCUACAAAUGCCGGCUUCUUUCAGUCAAUACUACCAAAGCUAGUGAAGGCUGUAACUGAUACUCAAGAGAAUCUUUUGCUCUUUGAGACCCCUGCGUUCAUUGAUAGAGAUAAAUUUGCUUGGUUCAGGGAUGAAGAAUUUUCUAGGCAAACUCUAGUUGGUCUUAACCCAUAUAGCAUACAACUAGUUACGGCCUUGAAAAGUAAGAUGCUAUUUGUGUUGGAUUAUCAUGAUCUAUUACUACCUUAUGUGAACAAAGUAAGAGAGGUAGAAGGGACUACAUUGUAUGGUUCAAGGGCAUUGUUCUUCCUUACUAAGGAUGGCACACCAAGGCCUGUUGCCAUUGAACUCACCCGGCCUCCAACUGGUGACAAACCCCAAUGGAAGCAGGUUUUUACCCCAACGUGGGAUGCCACAGGUUGCUGGCUGUGGAGGCUGGCUAAAGCUCAUGUUUGUGCUCAUGACCUUGGUUAUCACCAGCUUGUCAUUCACUGGCUGAGGACUCACUGCUGUACAGAGCCAUACAUAAUUGCAGCUAACAGACAAUUAAGUGCAAUGCAUCCAAUUUACAGACUUUUACAUCCUCAUUUCAGAUACACAAUGGAAAUCAAUGCUCUUGCCAGAGAGAGCCUCAUUAAUGCAGGUGGGAUAAUUGAAAGUGCAUUCUCGCCGGCUAAAUACUCCAUUGAACUCAGUUUUGCUACUUACAACCAGCUCUGGUGGUUUGACAUGGAAGCUUUGCCAGCAGAUUUGAUUAGAAGGGGAAUGGCAGUUAAGGAUCCAAUAGCUGAGCAUGGCCUGAGGUUAACCUUCGAAGACUACCCUUUUGCCAAUGAUGGUCUAAUCCUUUGGGAUGCCAUUAAGCAAUGGGUAAGUGAUUGUGUGAACCACUACUACACUGAACCAUCUCUUGUCCAGUCUGAUGGGGAGCUUCAAGCUUGGUUGGACAGAAGUUAGAACAAAAGGCCAUGCAGACAAGAAGGAUGAGCCAUGGUGGCCAGUCCUGGAAACUCCAGAAAAUCUAAUUCAUAUAUUAACAACCAUAAUCUGGGUAAAUGCUGGACACCAUGCAGCUUGUGAACUUUGGGUGGUAUAUGUUUGCUGGUUACUUCCCUAACCGGCAUACUAUAGCUCGAACCAACAUGCCAACUGAGAAUCCAUCUGAUGAAGAAUUCAAGAACUUUUUGAAAAAACCAGAAGUUGAACUGUUGAAAUGCUUCCCUUCACAGAUUCAAGCAACCAAGGUGAUGGCUGUUUUGGAUGUUCUAUCAAAUCACUCACCAUAUGAGGAGUUAUCUUGGUGAGAAUAUGGAACCAUCUUGGGAAGAAAAUCCUGUCAUAAAAGCUGCAUUUGAACAGUUUAGUGGCAGACUGAAGGAGCUUGAGGGAAUCAUUGAUGAGAGGAACACCAAUUUGAAACGGAAGAAUAGAGUUGGAGCUGGAGUUGUACCAUAUGAGCUCUUGAAGCCAUUCUCAAAGCCAAGGGUCACUGGUAGGGGAGUUCCUAAUAGCAUAUCCAUCUAAUGCGAUGGUAGUAGCAUCAGUUUUUGUGUAAAUAAAAUUGGGUACAUGUACUGAGGAAUUUCACAACUCUUCCAUCCCAUGUGAUUUUCUUGGUCUUGGAUAAGAUGGUUAAAACUUAAAAUGCUAUUAGUUCAAUUCCAAUCAGAUCUAAUUUUUGGUCACCACAAUAAUUGUAGUCAAAACCACAAUAAGCUGAGGAAUCAACUUUGAGGUGCAUUUUGAUGAACUGGGGAUUGAAGAUUAAAAGACUACAUGACUUGCACACACAUCUUAAUUGAGAUCGGACUUUAGGUAGUAUCAGGAGCAUCUUGGUGAUAAUAUCGCGAUUCGUAAAGAAGCUUUGAUGUUGACGUCUCAUAGAUCGGCGGUGAGAUUGAUGGAGCCGGUGAUGAGUUGUGGAGGGGGAGAGAAGAACCAAGAGGUGGAGGGUGAGUGAGUGACUGGCUGAGUGCCUGAGAGUGAGAGAGAUGGGGAACAAGCAAGUGUAAAAUGUGCACAUUUAUGGAACAGGUAAAGAGAAGGAACAGGCCUAGAGAAGUCACUAAGUGGAGCCCACUACGGAACUUGAGUCAACCCAUUACAAUCCACAAUUUGCAUCCAAUGGGUCAGGGUCUUAGAGAAUAUUAAAACAAAGGCCGGAACAGAUACUAUCAUUAUGGCUU
Molecule: RNA transcript, 3011 nt
Organism: Quercus lobata
Lineage: Eukaryota; Viridiplantae; Streptophyta; Magnoliopsida; Fagales; Fagaceae
Gene name: linoleate 13S-lipoxygenase 2-1, chloroplastic-like
Exons: 7
Source: RefSeq, a predicted model, not a curated record